GGCGGACGGGUGAGUAACGCGUGAGCAAUCUGCCUUUCAGAGGGGGACAACAGUUGGAAACGACUGCUAAUACCGCAUAAUGUACCGGUGCGGCAUCGCACUGAUACCAAAGAUUAUAUCGCUGAGAGAUGAGCUCGCGUCCAAUUAGCUAGAUGGUGAGGUAACGGCUCACCAUGGCGACGAUUGGUAGCCGGACUGAGAGGUUGAACGGCCACAUUGGGACUGAGACACGGCCCAGACUCCUACGGGAGGCAGCAGUGGGGGAUAUUGCGCAAUGGGGGCAACCCUGACGCAGCAACGCCGCGUGAAGGAAGAAGGUCUUCGGAUUGUAAACUUUUGUCUUGUGGGACGAAACGAAUGACGGUACCACAGGAGGAAGCCACGGCUAACUACGUGCCA
RNAcentral lists this ribosomal RNA (399 nucleotides) under uncultured bacterium. RNAcentral describes it as "bacterial SSU rRNA". It matches the Rfam family "Bacterial small subunit ribosomal RNA", at positions 97 to 510 of the family's 1533-position model. The record is from RNAcentral.